RNAcentral lists this ribosomal RNA (615 nucleotides) under uncultured bacterium. Its description in RNAcentral is "bacterial SSU rRNA". The stretch from base 1 to 526 matches the Rfam family "Bacterial small subunit ribosomal RNA", at positions 338 to 873 of the family's 1533-position model. The record is from RNAcentral.
CCUACGGGAGGCAGCAGUGGGGAAUAUUGGGCAAUGGGCGAAAGCCUGACCCAGCGACGCCGCGUGAGGGACGAAGGCCUUCGGGUUGUAAACCUCUUUCAGCAGGGAAGAAGCGAAAGUGACGGUACCUGCAGAAGAAGCACCGGCUAACUACGUGCCAGCAGCCGCGGUAAUACGUAGGGUGCAAGCGUUGUCCGGAAUUAUUGGGCGUAAAGAGCUCGUAGGUGGUUUGCCACGUCGGAUGUGAAAACCUGAGGCUUAACCUCAGGCCUGCAUUCGAUACGGGCAGACUAGAGUGUGGUAGGGGAGACUGGAAUUCCUGGUGUAGCGGUGAAAUGCGCAGAUAUCAGGAGGAACACCGGUGGCGAAGGCGGGUCUCUGGGCCAUAACUGACACUGAGGAGCGAAAGCGUGGGGAGCAAACAGGAUUAGAUACCCUGGUAGUCCACGCCGUAAACGGUGGGCACUAGAUGUGGGGACCUUCCGUACGUCGUCUGCGUCGCAGCUACGCAUUAAGUACGCCCGCCGUCGGGAGGUACGGCCGCGAACGGACGUAAACUACAAUAGAAGUUAGACGGCGNGAGACGNGCCGACGGACGACGACGAGGGAGGUAGG